This 83-nucleotide transfer RNA is filed under the name Fibrobacteria bacterium. RNAcentral's name for it is "tRNA-Ser". It matches the Rfam family "tRNA". Rfam says of the family: Transfer RNA (tRNA) molecules are approximately 80 nucleotides in length. Their secondary structure includes four short double-helical elements and three loops (D, anti-codon, and T loops). Further hydrogen bonds mediate the characteristic L-shaped molecular structure. tRNAs have two regions of fundamental functional importance: the anti-codon, which is responsible for specific mRNA codon recognition, and the 3' end, to which the tRNAs corresponding amino acid is attached (by aminoacyl-tRNA synthetases). tRNAs cope with the degeneracy of the genetic code in two manners: having more than one tRNA (with a specific anti-codon) for a particular amino acid; and 'wobble' base-pairing, i.e. permitting non-standard base-pairing at the 3rd anti-codon position. Lineage: Bacteria; Pseudomonadati; Fibrobacterota; Fibrobacteria. The record is from RNAcentral.
GGAGGAGUGGACAAUGGUCGUCAGGCUGUCUCGAAAACAGUUGCUCCGUUUAGGAGUUGCAGGUUCGAAUCCUGUCUCCUCCG